Long non-coding RNA from Bos taurus (domestic cattle), 1286 nucleotides. The record is from Ensembl. Lineage: Eukaryota; Metazoa; Chordata; Mammalia; Artiodactyla; Bovidae.
GGUGCCCUGCCUCCCGUGUGUUUUCUGUUUUCAAUCUCAAAAUGGGUAUUGAUGGACUGCUCAUCCGUGUUCCUAAAGGCUAGGUAACAGGGCUGCGGGCAGAAGUGAGAGGGAGGAAUAGGGUGGAAUCUUGUGUCUGACUCUUUGCAACCCCAUGGACUGUAAUCCACCAGGUUCCUCCAUCUCUGUUCAUGGGAUUCUCCAGGCAAGAAUACUGGAGUGGGUUUCCAUUCCCUUCUCCAGGGGAUCUUCUUGACCCAGGGGUUGAACCCAGGUCUCCCACAUUGCAGGCAGAUUCUUUGCCAUCUGAGCUACCAGGGAAGCCUCUCUCUUAGCUGCAGAAAACCUCUAUUCUUCUCCAGUAGAAAUUCCAGGCUUGACUUCCAUCAAUAUUAGGGAUCUCCUAGGGGCUUCAGGGAAUUCCUAAAUCUCUUGAAAUCAUAUUGUGCGUGCAUGCAUAUGUGCAUUUGUGGGGAAGAGGUUCAAUAGCUCUCAUAGAGUCUGCUACUAAAAAAAAAUGAAAAUACUGCUUCAUAAAAAGUUCUCUUAAAAGGUAUGAAUUUAACCUUGAAGUCAUAAAUCUGAUGUAAUAAUUAACACAAAAGUUUAUAUCAGAUAGACUUUAUGAGGACAUUUUAGUCGACUGUAAGUCUUGAGUGUCUGAUUAUUAAAGAAUAAUAUGGAAAGGAAGAGAUUGCUUUAAGUGUUCAGGGAGUCCCCUGGUGGUCCAGUGGUUGGGAUUCUGCCUGCCAGUGCAGGAGCCAUGGGUUUGAUCCCUGGUCUGGGAGGAUUCCGCAUGCCGUGGGGCAACUAAGCCCGUGUGUCACAACUACUGAGCCUGAGCACCACAGCUGCCGAAGCCUGUGCCCAAAGUCUGUGCUCCACAAGAGAAGCCCCUGCGGUGAGAAGCCUGCACACUGCAGCUGGAGAGCAGCCCCCUCUCGCCACAAUCAGGGAAGCCCAUGCCUAUCAGCGAAGACCCAGCACAGCUAAAAAAUAAAAUCUGAUGUCUAAAACAGAGCCAGUCAUCUUGUGAUGAGGAGGAAAAGACCAGGAGAAUCGCCAAGACAGGACCCUGACAUCACUGAGUUGCUCAACUGAUGCUAAGCCACCUACAUCCAGGCUUCUUGGCAUGUGAGAAAAGUAAUCUACCAUCUGCUAACCACAGUAAGCUACCAUCCAAAUCACAAUGGGUUGAAUUGUCUGUCACUCACAGCCAACUAACAUUUAUAACUGACACAGGAGAUUUUCAUAGGCUUCACAGAAGGGAGAUAACUUGUCAUGAG